GACCGGCGCGACGGGUGAGUAACGCGUACUACCAACCUCGGCCCUUAGGUAGGGAACACGGCCCGGACGAAAGUCGGAUUAAUGCCCUAUGUUUUUCCAAUGAUGGCAUCUGACUUGGAACAAAGAUUCAUCGCUAAGGGAUGGGGAUGCGUCUGAUUAGCUUGUCGGCGGGGUAACGGCCCACCGAGGCGACGAUCAGUAGGGGUUCUGAGAGGAAGGUCCCCCACCAUUGGUACUGAGACACGGACCAAACUCCUACGGGAGGCAGCAGUGAGGAAUAUUGGUCAAUGGGCGUAAGCCUGAACCAGCCAAGUAGCGUGCAAGGAUGACUGCCCUAUGGGUUGUAAACUGCUUUUAUUGCGGGAAUAAAGUCAGGUACGCGUACCUGUUUGUAUGUACCGCAUGAAUAAGGACCGGCUAAUUCCGUGCCAGCCGCGGC
Molecule: ribosomal RNA, 439 nt
Filed under: uncultured bacterium
Lineage: Bacteria
Description: bacterial SSU rRNA
Rfam family: Bacterial small subunit ribosomal RNA
Source: RNAcentral